CGCUGGGGUAUUUGGACAUGGGGGAAGCCUGAUCCACGCCAUGCCGCGUGUGUGAUGAAGGUCUUCGGAUUGUAAAGCCCUUUUAGUUGGGAGGAAGGGCUGUAGAUUAAUACUUUGCUGUUUUGACGUUACCGACAGAAUAAGCACCGGCUAACUCUGUGCCAGCAGCCGCGGUAAUCA
Molecule: ribosomal RNA, 180 nt
Filed under: uncultured Pseudomonas sp.
Lineage: Bacteria; Pseudomonadati; Pseudomonadota; Gammaproteobacteria; Pseudomonadales; Pseudomonadaceae
Description: partial 16S ribosomal RNA
Rfam family: Bacterial small subunit ribosomal RNA
Source: RNAcentral